This 534-nucleotide long non-coding RNA is filed under the name Mytilus galloprovincialis (Mediterranean mussel). The record is from RNAcentral. Lineage: Eukaryota; Metazoa; Mollusca; Bivalvia; Mytilida; Mytilidae.
UUUUCUAGUUUUAUACAGAACAUUUCUUCAAAUGUAUAAGGAUUAUAUAUAUUCCACAGUUCAUAGCACAGCAGAGGUUGCAUUUACUUUCUUGAUAGGGGAUUGCUUCAUACAAGAUAGCUACUGAAACAAGGGUCAUGACAAUAAAGUUGACGUGAUCUUUGAUUGUUUAACAGAAGCUAUCACGACUUAAUGGAUCGUUACCGAGUUUCUGUUACUGAUUACUAUGUAGUUCUUACAUUUGUCCUAGCUAAAAUGAAAGCCUGUGAUCGGUCAGUUUUUCCAGCUUUUGAUUUUCUUGAGAACCACUGAGCAUAUGAUAGCAAAGUUUCUGGUUGAGCUUAUAUUUUGCGUUUGAACAUAUUUAUUUUAGUUUACAUAUAUAAUUCGUAAAUCAAUUAACUGAUUAAAAAAUGUAGUAGUGUGCUCAUAUAAAAAAACCACAACUGUUCACAUAUAUUUAUAUCAGACCCAGUUAUACUGAAUGUACAUUGAGCAUGAAAAAAAAAUAUGGUCAAACUUAAACAAGAUUUA